GACGAACGCUGGCGGCGCGCUUAACACAUGCAAGUCGAACGGAAAGGCCUGCUUUCCCUUGUGGAUUGCGGGUACUCGAGUGGCGAACGGGUGAGUAACACGUGAGUGAUCUGCCCCCAACUUGGGUAUAAGCCUGGGAAACUGGGUCUAAUUCCCGAUAGGACUGCAGGGUGGUGCCUGUGGUGGAAAACGAUUUUCUAGUGGUUGGGGAUGAGCUCGCGGCCUAUCAGCUUGUUGGUGGGGUAAUGGCCUACCAAGGCGGCGACGGGUAGCCGGCCUGGGAGGGUGGACGGCCACAUUGGGACUGAGAUACGGCCCAGACUCCUACGGGAGGCAGCAGUGGGGAAUAUUGCACAAUGGGCGGAAGCCUGAUGCAGCGACGCCGCGUGGGGGAUGACGGCCUUCGGGUGGUAAACUCCUUUCGACCGCGAGGAAGCCACCUGGUUGGAAGGGUGGUGACGGUAGUGGUAGAAGAAGCACCGGCUAACUACGUG
RNAcentral lists this ribosomal RNA (494 nucleotides) under uncultured bacterium. Its description in RNAcentral is "partial 16S ribosomal RNA". It matches the Rfam family "Bacterial small subunit ribosomal RNA", at positions 28 to 507 of the family's 1533-position model. The record is from RNAcentral.